GAGCUAUAGCGCCCUGCCUGUUCUGGGCUUCUUGCAGAGCCUCUUCAGCUGCAGAGAAGCAGCUCUCCUUUCUCCAAGUCCAGAGCCAACAGGACGAAUAAUGAAGCUGUUGGGAAGAUUUACUGAUAAUACAUGUAAAGGGUCUAGCACAUUUUAGGAGCUCAAGGUUGGUGCCUUCCCUUUUUCUUUACUCUGAACCGGAUAUGAGGCCUUGAGAAAGAAGAGAGGCGCUUGCAAAACGAGGUGAGGUCUCAGGCACAGUGGCUCACGCCUGUAAUCCCAGCACUUUAGGAGACCGAGGCGGGCGGAUCAUGAGGUCAGGAGUUCGAGACCAGCCUGGCCAACAUGGUGAAAGCCCGUCUCUACUAAAAAUACAAAAAUUAGACGGGCAUGGUGGUGGGCACCUGUAAUCCCGGCUACUUGGGAGGUUGAGGGAGGAGAAUCGCUUGAACCCAGGAGGUGGAGGUUGCAGUGAGCCGAGACUGCACCAUUGCACUCCAGCCUGGGCAAUAGAGCGAGACUCCGUCUCAAGCAAGCAAGCAAGCAAACAAACAAAAUAAAAAACGAGGUCAAGUUUCAAAAGAUGUCACCCCCAACCUGGCAAAACUUCUCCUCAAGCCCUGUCGUUCCACUCUUGUCCGCCAGGAGGAGAAAAGGUUCCCUCGAAGGACGUCUUUGCUUGCGCGUUCACGGAGCCUUGAGAACGAGUGGCCGAGGGGACCCCUGCGGCCCUGCGCGCCUAAGGGAGGACCUGACUCCUUUCAGAAUUAGCAUUUCUUCCCCUUCGUGGGUGCUCUUGAGUUCCAAAGAAAAGGAAGAGAAGCCUUCAUUGAGCAGCUUCUUCUGCCUUAGGGACUGUGCUAGGGGGUAGAUCGACCUUAGGGGAAACAAUCCCCGCUUAUUAGAGGAGGUUUUGGAUCAGGGUUUGCUUUAUUUGAAAUUUAACAAAUACAGAAAAGCAGAAGGAAGAAAAUUGAAGUAAUCCAUGUUUCCACUGGGCGCGG
This 1004-nucleotide long non-coding RNA is filed under the name Homo sapiens (human). RNAcentral's name for it is "HSALNT0388167". The record is from RNAcentral. Lineage: Eukaryota; Metazoa; Chordata; Mammalia; Primates; Hominidae.